CCUACGGGGGGCAGCAGUGAGGAAUAUUGGUCAAUGGCCGGAAGGCUGAACCAGCCAUGCCGCGUGAAGGUCAGUGCCCUAUGGGCGUUAAACUUCUUUUGUGCGGGAGCAAUAAUGGUCACGUGUGGCCAGACGAGAGUACCGUACGAAUAAGCAUCGGCUAACUCCGUGCCAGCAGCCGCGGUAAUACGGGGGAUGCAAGCGUUAUCCGGAUUUAUUGGGUUUAAAGGGUGCGUAGGCUGUGAGGUAAGUCAGCGGUGAAAUGCCCCCGCUCAACGGGGUGAAGUGCCAUUGAUACUGCCUGGCUGGAAUGCGGAUGCCGUGGGAGGAAUGUGUGGGGUAGCGGUGAAAUGCAUAGAUAUCACACAGAACACCGAUUGCGAAGGCAUCUCACGAAUCCGCGAUUGACGCUGAUGCACGAAAGCGUGGGUAUCAAACAGGAUUAGAUACCCGUGUAGUC
This 460-nucleotide ribosomal RNA is filed under the name uncultured bacterium. Its description in RNAcentral is "partial 16S ribosomal RNA". It matches the Rfam family "Bacterial small subunit ribosomal RNA", at positions 338 to 795 of the family's 1533-position model. The record is from RNAcentral.